This 430-nucleotide ribosomal RNA is filed under the name uncultured bacterium. Its description in RNAcentral is "bacterial SSU rRNA". It matches the Rfam family "Bacterial small subunit ribosomal RNA", at positions 354 to 776 of the family's 1533-position model. The record is from RNAcentral.
GUGGGGAAUAUUGCACAAUGGGGGAAACCCUGAUGCAGCCAUGCCGCGUGUGUGAAGAAGGCCUUCGGGUUGUAAAGCACUUUCAGUUGUGAGGAAAAGUUAGUAGUUAAUACCUGCUAGCCGUGACGUUAACAACAGAAGAAGCACCGGCUAACUCCGUGCCAGCAGCCGCGGUAAUACGGAGGGUGCGAGCGUUAAUCGGAAUUACUGGGCGUAAAGCGCACGCAGGCGGUUUGUUAAGCUAGAUGUGAAAGCCCCGGGCUCAACCUGGGAUGGUCAUUUAGAACUGGCAGACUAGAGUCUUGGAGAGGGGAGUGGAAUUCCAGGUGUAGCGGUGAAAUGCGUAGAUAUCUGGAGGAACAUCAGUGGCGAAGGCGACUCCCUGGCCAAAGACUGACGCUCAUGUGCGAAAGUGUGGGUAGCGAACAGG